RNAcentral lists this long non-coding RNA (11943 nucleotides) under Solanum lycopersicum (tomato). RNAcentral's name for it is "long non-coding RNA (SLYC_LNC000427)". The record is from RNAcentral. Lineage: Eukaryota; Viridiplantae; Streptophyta; Magnoliopsida; Solanales; Solanaceae.
ACAAACAAAAAUUUCCUGCAACUUCUACAUCUUUCCACUUAAAGAGAAAGAAAAAUUAUUUUUCCUCUUCGACUCCCUUCAUCACACGACACAAAUCAAAGUCGAAAGAACGAGAUAUAGCCGAGAGUAGAGGAGAAAGUUGGAAGGUACUAUUGUUGCUUCAUCUCUAGAAACAUAAAUAUUUUGCAUUUAAACAUUUUAACGCAAUCCCUUAAUCUUUGAUUAUUCUAUAGAAUUUUCAAUCCUAAAGUGCAGAUUCAUUAGUAGUAGUAUUACUCCUAAUAAUAAUUGUUGCGAAAAUUUCAACGUUAUGAUGAUGAUUUUCUUCUUUCUUUGACCAAAUUGAUAGUGAAGGAGAGAAAUUGAACAAAUAUAUUGGUUGGGCAACUUGGAUGGAAGGUGACCCUGCAAGUGUGUAAUGACCCAAAAGCUCCUCUUUAGAAUUUUUGAAUAUUUGUUUAACUUAAGUUAAUUAAACAAUAGUUUAUGGGCUAAAGUGAUAAUUUAUUUAAGACCCUAUACCCUUUUAGCCUAUAUUUAAUAAAAUAUGUGGGUAAAACCUAUCACUUUUAGUACUUAAAUAAUUCAGAAAAAAAGAAUUAGGGAAAACGAAGAACUGACGACGGCCGACAAACACAAAGGAAGAGGCAUAACGUGUCCAGGUAAUUGUUAAACAUAAUUAUUCUUAUUUAUUUAUUGUUGCCGUUAAUUAGUAUUAGCAUUAAUUGAAUAUGCAUUGUGUUAUAUAUAUGUAUAAGAUUUGCAAAGUAUGACUCCAUUAUGUGGCAGUGAUGAUUGAGCAACCAAUUCGGCGGAAAAUUUCAUGAAAUUAACAUAUUAAACUCAUGAUAUUAAAUAAGUUGAGAUUUUAGGGUUAAGUCAUUAUGUUUAACUAUUCGAAGUGGUAUUGUUUUAUGUGUUUAGUAUAAUAAUAAUAAUUAUGAUGAAUUAAAUUUUGAUAUAUUAAGAUAGGUAAUUAGAUAUUGAGUGUAUUAUACUAUAUGAUAAUUAUUGGGUUUGUAGUAUUUGGAGAAAAUAUGAUUUAACCUUAGACUUGAAACUUGGAAAAUAUAAUAGUUGAAAUGUUAGUUGGCAUCAAGAAUUACGAUCUUGAUUAUAAAUUUGAGGUGAAAUUUUAGGUCAAGAUUAAACACACAAAAGUGUGAGUGUUGUUAGUUCUGAAACCUUAUUGUGAAUAUAUAAACUUGCAUAGAUUGCAUUGAUUUGGAAGCUCAACGGAAAGAGAAGGCUCAAGUCCCAGAGUGAUUAUUCGAGUGGUUAAGGCAAGUGGAUUUCUAAACCCUUGUUAAGCAUAUGAAAUUCGUGUAUUUCCUUGCGUAGUGUUGAGAAUGACUUGGAGACUUGUUGCUUAUUUGUUGGUGUUGUAUUCCUUGUUGUGAAUUGUGCUUUGUUAUCAAAAUGGUUAUCUUCUCAUUUUCAUUCGAGCAUCUCAUUUGCAUUGUAUCUGAGACAUGGUUGUGGUAAGAGGAUGCCCCAUUUCGAGAGUCGUAUCGCGCGCCGCGAUGGAUAUUACAUUUCGAGGGCCUUAUCGCGCGCCGCGAAGGCUACUAUUAUCGAGGGUAGUGUCGUGCACCGCGACAGAUGCAUCGAUAGAUAUGUCCCUCAUGGGUCCCGAACUGAGAGAUAGCGGGUGUGUAUCGUUAAGAAAGACAUGCAUCACUAUAUUUGACAUUGCAUCUCAUGGCAUUGCACAUUUUAUUAUUGAUGAACUUGAACACGUGCUUUGCUGAUCUUGUGAUUGUUUCUCUGUGAAGCUUGUGACUGUUGAAUAUUGAGCUGUUAUUGAGAAUGUGUAAACUGAUAGAGUGUGGUUAUUGAGUUGUGUGUUUGGUAAACUGUAAACUAUUAGGCUGUAGUGUGGAGGUUUAGAUAGGGUGUAAGGAGUACCCGUAUUUUGUUCACUUAACUUGUGUUUAGAGGUUUGCUUGUUGGGUACCGCGUGGUUUGGUACUCACCCCUUGCUUCUACAAAUUUUUUUGUAGGUUACGAGCCUGGAUCUUCUUGAUAUCUGUCAUUCUUUUCGUUUCCGAGGCAUCUUGUGGAGGGUUGUGAGGUAGCUGCUUGUCAUCUCAGCAAACUUUCCUACUCCAGUUUAUGAUUUUGUUUUUACUUGAAAGACAACUUCAUUUUAGACUUCUAUUUUGUUCCAAUUCUAAUAUUUACAUUAGAGGCUUGUGCACGUGAUAACCUGGUUUUGGGGAUUGGAUUAAUAUGACUUGGUUUCAUAAUAGGAAUUGUUGUUGGAUUGUCAUUUACUUCCGCACUUUGUUAGAUAUUGUGUUUUAGGCUGACUUGUCUUGGUGGGAUAAGACGAGUGCCAUCACAUCCAUUUUUUGGGUCGUGAAAAAAUGGUAUCAGAGCUCCAGGUUCAUAGGUAUCACGUGUAUUCAAGCCGAGUCUACGUAGAGUCUCAAGGAUCAGUACGGAGACGUCUGUACUCAUCUCUGAGAGGCUAUAAAGAUUACUAGGAAACUUCCUUUUGUUCAUUCUUUAUCAUCGUGCGUAGUUACCUUCGUUAGUACUGAUUUGUUGUAUACUUUUUUGACAGAUGACGAGGACUAGAACUAAUGUUACUGGUGGUAGAGGGGAGGCACUUCCCGAGGCAGUUGUUGAGGCCCCAGCUAGGGGUAGGGGUAGAUCUCGAGCUAGAGGUCGUGCUAGUAGUACGACAGUAGCCAGAGGUCGUGGACGUGGAGCAGCACCAGUGAGAGGUCCUGCUAAAGAGGUCUCUGCAGAACCUUAGAUUGAUAGCAGGGAGGACCAGGUUCCUCCAUAUCCUGUAGUCACACCUUUGCUUCAGGAUACACUAUUGAGGGUGUUAAGUGUGAUAGGGAUUUUCUCAGGGUGGUGGUGCGACUACCACACCACAUGACUCUCGUACUAGAGAGGGGGCUCAGACCCAAGAGCAGCAACAAGCUCCAGUUGUUCAGGAUGCGGUGGGGCAACUACCAGUAGAUCCCGCGGUUCAGAAUGAUGUUGCACCAGCAGUUGGGGGUCAAGUUGCAUCGAUGGUUAUUCUGACAGAGGAUGAGCAGCGUAGGUAUGAGAGAUUUCGAAAGAUGGACCCACCUCAGUUUCAGGGUGAGAAGAGCGAGGACGCCCAUGAGUUUCUAACUACCUGCCGAGAGUUACUAGAGGUGGUUGGAUUAGCUGAGUCAUAUGGGGUUCGAUAUGCUACACUCCAGCUUCGUGGACCAGAAAGAGACUGGUGGAGGACUUAUUCGGGGGUUUUGCCAACUGGAUAUCCUCCAGUGACUUGGAAGCAGUUUGCUAGUGCAUUCCAAGAUCGUUUUAUCCCAUGGAGCGUGAGAGAGGAGAGUCGCUUGAGGUUUGAGAGUCUGAGACAGGAUGGUUUAUCGGUUAUAGAGUAUGAGGCGCAUUUUUGCCAGUUGACUAGGCAUGCGUUAGCCAUUAUUCCAAAUGAGACAGAGAGGAUCCACAGAUUUGUGAGGGGAUUGACUUUCUUUAUUAGGUCAGCUGUGUUUCGAACAUCUAGGGAGGGGACUUCUUUCCAGUCCAUUGUGAGCGCCGCCAAAGAGGCGGAAUUGAUGGAGAGAGAGGAGUUUGGGAACCCUAAAAAAGCUCGUAUAUCAGGUCAGUUUCAGGGUGCCUCAUCUGGAGGUAGGGGAUCACAAAGAGUGAGUGGUUCUUUUCAGCAGCUGGGACCUAUUCAUGCAUCUAUGCCGACAUUUGAGGGUGGCCAGACAUCUAGGGGUUCUUACGGCCCAGGUCAGGGCUCGUACGGUUCACAGCAGCGACCUACAGGGCGAGGAAAUUAUAGUGGGUUUUCAGGGUCCACACAACAGUUCCCAGGUCAGAAAUUUUAUUUUACUUGUGGAGAUCCCGAUCAUCUAAUGCGGCAGUGUACUUCACAAAGGGGUCGUGGUGGGCCUCGACCUAAUUCUUCAUUUCAGACUAGACCAUCAGCACCACAGGGUAGAGGUCGUGGCAGAGCUCAGUCAAGUAGAGGUGAUAGAGUUUCUAGUAGUGGUGUUGCAGCUCAGCAGAGUGGGGGUAGAGGUACCACCCAGGAUGGAGGUAGACGAGGAGGCCACUGCUAUGCUUUCCCCGGGAGACCUGAGGCGGAGACCUUUGAUGCUGUUAUUACAGGUAUUAUCCCAGUAUUCCAUUGACCUGCGUCUGUGUUGUUUGAUCCAGAUCUACAUUCUCUUAUGUGUCUACGUAUUUUGCUGCUAAAUUUGAUAUGAUAUGUGAUAGCAUGACUGUACCUAUUCGCGUUUCUACACCCGUGGGCAAGCCCUUAGUGGUGGAUCGAGUGUAUCGAUCCUUUCUUGUUUCUUUAGCUGGGUAUGACACUUGGGUAGACUUAAUCAUUCCGGAGAUGGUUGACUUUGAUGUUAUCUUGGGUAUGGAUUGGCUUUCUCCUUAUCACGCUGUCCUUGAUUGUAAUGCUAAGACUGUGACUUUAGCAAUGCCUGGUGUUUCGAGGGUUGAGUGGAAGAGUGUUAGUGACUCUUAUCCUAGCAAGAUUAUCUUUUUUAUUCGUGCUCAGAGAAUGGUGGAGAGGGGGUGUUUGUCUUACUUAGCGUUUAUUCGGGAUACUAGUGUUGAACCACCUCCCCUGGACUCUAUUCCCGUGGUUCAGGAGUUUCUCGAUGUAUUUCCUUCUGAUCUUCCAGGUGUUCCUCCCGAUAGGGAUAUCGAUUUUGCUAUUGUUUUGGAGACAGGCACUAAGCCUAUUUCUAUCCCUCCAUACCGUAUGGCUCCAGCAGAGUUGAAAGAAUUGAAGGAUCUGUUGCAGGAUUUAUUGAGUAAGGGUUUUAUUCACCCUAGUGUGUCACCUUGGGGUGCACAUGUAUUAUUUGUGAAGAAGAAGGAUGGGACUAUGAGAAUAUGUAUUGAUUACAGACAGUUGAACAAGGUAACAGUGAAGAAUAAGUAUCGUCUUCCGCGUAUUGAUGACUUAUCUGAUCAGUUACAGGGAGCAUCAUUGUUCUCUAAGAUUCAUUUGAGGUCUGGGUAUCAUCAGUUGAAGAUUAGGGCAUCAGAUAUCCCUAAGACAGCUUUUUGAACUCGGUAUGGGCAUUAUGAGUUCCUAGUGAUGUCCUGCGGAUUGAAUAAUGCCCCUGCAGCAUUCAUGGAGUUGAUGAAUGGGGUGUUUCGACCAUACCUUGAUUCUUUUGUGAUUGUUUUUAUCGAUGACAUCUUGGUUUACUCCAAGACUAAGGAGGACCAUGUCCGACACUUGAGGAUUGUACUUCAGAGGUUGAGAGAAGAGAUGUUGUAUGUCAAGUUCUCAAAGUGUGAGUUUUGGCUUACUUCUGUGGCAUUCUUAGGACAUGUGGUGUCUAAGGAGGGUAUUAGAGUAGAUUCGGCCAAGAUUGAGGCAGUUAGAUACUGGACGCGACCUACUUCACCUACUGAGAUUAGGAGUUUUGUGGGAUUGGCAGGCUAUUAUCGACGAUUUGUUCAGAGUUUCUCUACUAGUGCAGCUCCAUUGACUAGAUUGACUCGACAUGAUGUGAGUUUUCAGUGCUCUGAUGAGUGUGAGGAGAGAUUUCAAAAGCUCAAGACUUUGUUGACUUCUGCUCCUGUGUUGACUCUACCUGAGGAGGGUGUAGACUUUACUGUGUAUUGUGAUGCUUCAGGAGUUGGUUUGGGUGGUGUGUUGAUGCAGAAGGGGAAAGUGAUUGCUUAUGCUUCUAGGAAGUUGAAAUCCCAUGAGAAGAACUACCCUACUCAUGAUUUGGAGUUGCCGGCUGUGGUAUUUGUACUUAAGUUAUGGCGUCAUUAUUUGUAUGGAGUGCAUUGUGAGAUCUUCACUGAUCAUCGGAGUCUUCAAGUAUAUCUUUAGCCAGAGGGAUUUGAACUUGAGGCAACGAAGAUGGCUUGAGUUGCUGAAGGACUAUGAUGUGACCAUUUUGUAUCAUCCGGGGAAGGCCAAUGUUGUGGCCGAUGCUUUGAGUAGGAAGACUCAUAGCAUGGGGAGUCUUGCAUCUCUUAGUGUUGAGGAAAGACCAUUGGCUAGAGAUGUUCAAUUGUUAGCUAACAGUCUUGUCCGAUUACAGAUCUCAGAGGAGAGUGAUGGGAUGAUUGCUUUUAUUGAGGCUCGAUCUUCUUUAGUCAAGCAGAUUCGUGCACACCAGUUUGAUGACGAAAAAUUAUGUCUCAUUCGAGACAAAGUAUUGAGAGGGGAAGCUAAGGAGGUUGUCCUUGAUUCUGAUGGUGUCUUGAGGAUCGGAGGCAGGAUUUGUGUGCCCAAGACAGGCGAUUUGAUUAGAUUGAUCCUUGAGGAGGCCCAUUGUUCUCGAUAUUCUAUUCAUCCGGGAGAGGCGAAAAUGUAUCAUGAUCUGAGUCAGCAUUACUGGUGGUGUGGGAUGAAGAGAGAUAUUACAGACUUUGUUUUGAGGUGUUUGACUUGCCAGUUGGUCAAGUGUGAGCACCAGUGGCCUGGGGGUGUAUCUCAAAGGAUGCCUAUUCUUACUUGGACGUGGGAGUGGAUUACUAUGGACUUUGUUGUGGGUUUGCCUACCACAGUGGGUGGUUAUGACUCUAUUUGGGUUGUUGUUGAUAGGCUGACCAAGUCUGCCCACUUCAUUCCGGUUCGGGUGAAGUAUACGGUAGAAAAGUUAGCUGAGCUAUAUAUCAGUCACAUUGUUCGACUACAUGGAGUUCCUAUUUCUAUCAUAUCAGAUCGAGGUUCACUAUUUACUUCUCAUUUCUGGAAGGCAUUACAACAUAGUCUGGGUACUCAGUUAGAUAUGAGUACGGCAUUUCACCCUCAAACAGAUGGUCAAUCUGAGCGGACCAUUCAGGUAUUGGAUAUGCUUCGAGCGUGUGUGAUCGAUUUUGGUGCUAGAUGGGAUAACCAUUUACCAUUAGUGGAGUUUGCUUGUAAUAACAAUUAUCACUCUAGUAUCCAGAUGGCCCCAUUUGAGGCGUUGUAUGGAAGGCGGUGUAGGUCUCCGAUUGGUUGGUUUGAUUCGGCGGAGAUGGACUCUUUGGAUACAGACUUGCUGAGAGAUGCAAUGGAGCAAGUCCGUAUGAUUCAGUAUAGAUUAUUGACAGCUCAGAGUCGACAGAAGAGUUAUACAGACCGGAGAGUUAGAGCCUUGGUGUUUAUGGAGGGUGAUCAUGUUUGGCUCCGAGUAUCACCCAUGAAGGGUGUGAUGAGGUUCGGAAAGAAGCACAAGCUUAGUCCUAGAUUCAUUGGCCCUUUUGAGAUUUUAAGCCGAGUGGGAGAGGUGGACUAUAAGUUGGCCUUGCCACCUAGUUUGUCAGCAGUACAUCCUAUUUUUCAUGUCUCUAUGCUUAGGAAGUAUAUUCCGGACGAAUCUCAUGUGCUUUCACUUGAUUCUGUAGAGUUGGGUCCAGACUUGACAUUUAAAGAGGAGCCUAUAGCUAUUUUGGAUAGGCAGGUUCGAAAGCUUAGAACCAAGGAGAUUGCUUCAGUGAAGGUGCAGUGGAAGCACCGAUCGGUGAGAGAGGCAACUUGGGAGACUGAGUCUGACAUGCGUGCCAGAUAUCCUCAACUUUUUGAAGCUUCAGGUAAUUACUUUUACUCUAUGUUCGAGGACGAACAUGAUUUUUAGUGGUGGAUAAUGUAAUGACCCAAAAGCUCCUCUUUAGAAUUUUUGAAUGUUUGUUUAACUUAAGUUAAUUAAACAAUAGUUUAUGGGCUAAAGUGAUAAUUUAUUUAAGACCCUAUACCCUUUUAGCCUAUAUUUAAUAAAAUAUGUGGGUAAAACCUAUCACUUUUAGUACUUAAAUAAUUCAGAAAAAAAGAAUUAGGGAAAACGAAGAAUUGACGACGGCCGGCAAACACAAAGGAAGUGGCAUAACAUGUCCAGGUAAUUGUUAAACAUAAUUAUUCUUAUUUAUUUAUUGUUGCCAUUAAUUAGUAUUAGCAUUAAUUGAAUAUGCAUUGUGUUAUAUAUAUGUAUAAGAUUUGCAAAGUAUGACUCCAUUAUGUGGCAGUGAUGAUUGAGCAACCAAUUCGGCGGAAAAUUUCAUGAAAUUAACAUAUUAAACUCAUAAUAUUAAAUUAGUUGAGAUUUUAGGGUUAAGUCAUUAUGUUUAACUAUUCGAAGUGGUAUUGUUUUAUGUGUUUAGUAUAAUAAUAAUAAUUAUGAAGAAUUAAAUUUUGAUAUAUUAAGAUAGGUAAUUAGAUAUUGAGUGUAUUAUACUAUAUGAUGAUUAUUAGGUUUGUAGUAUUUGGAGAAAAUAUGAUUUAACCUUAGACUUGAAACUUGGAAAAUAUAAUAGUUGAAAUGUUAGUUGGCAUCAAGAAUUACGAACUUGAUUAUAAAUUUGAGGUGAAAUUUUAGGUCAAGAUUGAACACACAAAAGUGUGAGUGUUGUUAGUUCUGAAUCCUUAUUGUGAAUAUAUAUACUUGCAUAGAUUGCAUUGAUUUGUAAGCUCAACGGAAAGGGAAGGCUCAAGUCCCAGAGUGAUUAUUCGAGUGGUUAAGGCAAGUGGAUUUCUAAACCCUUGUUAAGUGUAUGAAAUUCGUGUAUUUCCUUGCGUAGUGUUGAGAAUGACUUGGAGACUUGUUGCUUAUUUGUUGGUGUUGUAUUCCUUGUUGUGAAUUGUGCCUUGUUAUCAAAAUGGUUAUCUUCUCAUUUUCAUUCGAGCAUGUCAUUUGCAUUGUAUCUGAGAGAUGGUUGUGGUAAGAGGAUGUACCAUUUUGAGGGUCGUAUCGCACGCCGUGAUGGGUAUUACAUUUCGAGGGACGUAUCGUGCGCCGCGAAGGUUACUAUUAUCGAGGGUCGUGUCAUGCGCCGCGAUAGAUGCAUGGACAGAUAUGUCCCCCAUGGGUCCCGGACUGAGAGACAGUGGGUGUGUAUCAUUAAGAAAGACAUGCAUCACUAUAUUUGACAUUGCAUCUCAUGGCAUUGCACAUUUUAUUAUUGAUGAACUUGAACACGUGCUUUGCUGAUCUUGUGAUUGUUUCUCUGUGAAGCUUGUGACUGUUGAAUAUUGAGCUGUUAUUGAGAAUGUGUAAACUGAUAGAGUGUGGUUAUUGAGUUGUGUGUUUGGUAAAUUGUAAACUAUUAGGCUGUAGUGUGGAGGUUUAGAUAGGGUGUAAGGAGUACCCGUAUUUUGUUCACUUAACUUGUGUUUAGAGGUUUGCUUGUUGGGUACCGCGUGGUUUGGUACUCACCCCUUGCUUCUACAAAUUUUUUUGUAGGUUACGAGCCUGGAUCUUCUUGAUAUCUGUCAUUCUUUUCGUUUCCGAGGCAUCUUGUGGAGGGUUGUGAGGUAGCUGCUUGUCAUUUCAGCGAACUUUCCUACUCCAGUUUAUGAUUUUGUUUUUACUUGAAAGACAACUUCAUUUUAGACUUCUAUUUUGUUCCAAUUCUAAUAUUUACAUUAGAGGCUUGUGCACGUGAUAACCUGGUUUUGGGGAUUGGAUUAAUAUGACUUGGUUUCAUAAUAGGAAUUGUUGUUGGAUUGUCAUUUACUUCCGCACUUUGUUAGAUAUUGGGUUUUAGGCUGACUUGUCUUGGUGGGAUAAGACGAGUGCCAUCACACCCAUUUUUUGGGUCGUGACAAAGUGAUUCUUAUAUCUAUUGAGGUGAUUCCUGUCACUCUCGCCGAGUUGUACUUACUACAGAUUUGAGCCUCAGUGCUUCAUUUGCUGAUAUAAUUUUUUUUAAACCUUACAAAUGUUGAAUUCACAGGUUGAUAAACACAUGAGAGUUUUUUCUUUUAAAGGAAAAAGACUUAUCAUAGAUCCAGAGCCAAAGAACGAGGAUUGUAGAGAAUAAAGGAGAACACUUCAAAGGUAUCUUGCUCCUCUCUCUGAGUUUCACAAUUGUUAUUUCAACCACACUAAAAAAACAUUAUUAUUUUCAUAAUAGUGUUGUAAUUUUCUUAAAUGCUAACAUCGUCAAAAACACUGUUAUAAUCUACUCUCCCUAAUGAACCAAAUAAAUCAUAUUUGGGGGCUAAGGUUCCAACUUAGGAAUCAAUCACGUUUAAUCCACAAUCAUUAUUUUCUUUCUACAAUAAUGGUAUGAAUUAGGUUAAUGAUCGGAGAUUACAGAAGUAUAUUGACCGUGUAUGAUAAUCAAUAUUACCUAUAAUGAUGAUAUAAUUUUUUCUUUGAGCAGAUUAAUAGUGUAGGAAUAAAAUCGAAUAUGUACCUUGGCUGUGCAACCCGAAUGGUAAAUUUCUAUGCAAUCUGUGUUACAGCCAUGUCAGACUAUCCUAGGCUUGCUUGUCGUGUCACAAGUAUUACAAAUAUUACCUCAAUGUUCAAUUUUCUUUGAAUAUAUUGAAAAUCCCAUCUUCACCUCCACAAAGUAAAGUUGAGAUAACUUAAAUGUCUAUUGAAAUGGUUUAACGUCAGCAAUUUGUACAGUGUAAAAGUGAUAUUUACUUAUAUUUGUUAAAGAUAUAUUUCUUAUGUGUUUGUAUAUUACAGAAAUAGUAUUUUGAAUGACUGAUAGAGCAAAGAGUAAUACGCACCGAUUCAUUGGGAAAUAACAGUAAUUAUAAUAGAUGUUAGUUAAAGAUAUAUUGCUUAUGUGUUUGUAUAUUACAAAAUAAUAUUUUGAAUGACCGAUAUAGCAAAGAGUAAUACCACCAAUCCAUUGGGAAAUAACAGUGAUUAUAAUAGAUGUUAGUUUUUCUGUCAUAAUAAAAGAAUAUUUGUUUACAUUCAGGCUUCAUACAUUUUCUCUCAUGAUCUUCUUUUUAAUCUAUUUUUCCUUUUGCUUCAAAAGCAAUUGUAAACAACUCUGUCAUAUGAUGUUUGUACUUCUAAAUUAAAAUGAGUAAAAGGUGAAUAUAGAUGAUGUGUGGAGAAAUGAUCCUCUACCUUUUUGUUAUCUUUGAAAUAGUAUCACUCUGAAGAAGAUCAGGAGAGAAUGCUUGCAAUAUUGUUGAUAUGAUUCUGAACAUUUUCAGCAGGUCAGUUUGUCUUUUAUUUAUUUUUAUUACCUUUCCUACGUAUGAAUAUAAGAAAAGAUUUAUGUUUAGAUAUUCAGCUCGGUAGUUUUUUAUUAGUUGAACUAUCUUUUUCAAUCACUAAUUUUCUAAUGAAAUUAGUAACUUUGUUGCCUUAAAUUCUUUGUAUUCCUUCUCAGCUUAUUCACAAUACUAAAAAGAAUUCAACUGGAGUACUCUAAGAAGGGUCGUUGAAUGAGUUAAAACUUUGAUGAACCAAUACACUUUUAGCUGAAUAAUUCUUGAAGAUUUGUUAUCUUUCUCAAGUAUUCCUGUUAGUUGUAUGAUUUUUGUGAAGUUUAAGUUGACUUUCAUUGUUGUGAGUUGCUUAAUCUUCGUAUGUUAGAUAUGUUAGGAAACAUGAUGCCAAGCCCCUACUGAUAAUCAAAGACUAUCCUGUCUACAUGCACAUUCUUUUUUUUCUCGAGUUUUUGUUUACAUUUGUUCAAUGAUGAUUCCUUCUACAAUAUUCAUUUGGUAUCGCUAUUCUAUCAAGUUCUUGUUAGAUUGAGUAAGCCAGUCGCUCUAGGCUAACUUUUUGGAUGACACAAGGUAAAAUUUUGUAUUUAUACCAUUGAUACAAGAUGUUAACUGUUUGAAUGACAUAAGGUAAACAUGUUACAACUGUACAAUUGAUAUGAGCUAAGUCUUGCAUCAAAUGUUGCAGAUAGACGGACAAAUUUAUCUUUUUCUCAUGCACAAGCUUGGGAGGAGACUACUAUUUUAAGUCACUCUUGGUGCGCGUUAUAGUGAACUUUUAUUUGUUGUUGGAAACAUUAUUCCAUUAUAACUAAGAACAUGUUACAAUUAGAAUGAAUGUAAAUACUAGAUUUCAUUUUCUCCUUCACAAAUUGGAGAUGAAUAUUUCCUCUAGACAGGGUCUAUAUUUGUUUGCUUUUACCAUGAUGAGUUUCACAAAAUGACAACAAACUUACAUUUAUUAAGCACUUUCUACUUGUGCUUUGUAGUUUGCAGUGAGCUCAAUUUGUUUUCUUUUGUUAUGUUCU